This is a long non-coding RNA of Homo sapiens (human), 5991 nucleotides long. RefSeq lists it as uncharacterized. Lineage: Eukaryota; Metazoa; Chordata; Mammalia; Primates; Hominidae. The transcript has 3 exons. The record is from RefSeq and is a predicted model, not a curated record.
CGCCCAGUUGGAGCUUCUGGGCUGCUUUGUUUACCUAAGCAAGCCUCAGCAAUGGCGGGCGCCCCUCCCCCAGCCUCGCUGCCGCCUUGCAGUUUGAUCUCAGACCGCUGUGCUAGCAAUCAGCGAGACUCCAUGGGGUAGGACCCUCCAAGCCAGGUGUGGGAUAUAAUCUCAUGGUGCAUAAAGCGCAGUAUUCGGGUGGGAGUGACCCGAUUUUCCAGGUGCCGUCCGUCACCCCUUUCUUUGACUCGGAAAGGGAACUCCCUGACCCCUUGCGCUUCCCGUGUGAGGCAAUGCCUCGCCCUGCUUCGGCUCGCGCACGGUGCGCGCACCCACUGACCUGCGCCCACUGUCUGGCACUCCCUAGUGAGAUGAACCCGGUACCUCAGAUGGAAAUGCAGAAAUCACCCGUCUUCUGCGUCGCUCACGCUGGGAGCUGUAGACCGGAGCUGUUCCUAUUCGGCCAUCUUGGCUCCUCCCCCCGAGAUUGAUAAAUCCAAGAAAAUAGAGAAGAUCAAAAGAAGAUACAUAGCUGAAAACACUUGAAGGUAUAGACUACCUUGAAAGUCACGCAAGAACUGUUCUUCCUGCUUUCCAUAUCCAAGAUGCAGAAGUCAAGGCACAGGGAUGUGAACAUACGUGGGUCAUGUUUCAUAGUACCUGGACCAAGAGAAGAGGUCUCUCUAUGUUGAGAAAAUGGCAAUGCCUUCCCACAGCAUGGUACUUCUUCUCCUUCUGAGAAUGAUACUGUUACAUAAAGGUUUUCGGCGGUGCCCCAGAACACGGAGAUUUCCUUCUGCCCAGCUGCAUGAGGCACACAUAUCCUGGGAUGGCAUUAGGAAGAUGGCCACUUUCACAUCAACUUAUGUACUCUGGCACCAACCUCUCUUCUCCCUACCCAGCCCAACUUCCCACCCACUGCUAUUGGGAUGAUAUGUGCUCUUGGGUAAGGAAUGCAUAUCCAAAUGCUACCUCAGAUCAGGGAGGUAAUACCUGGCCUCAAUUCUCUGCCCUUAAAGAAUCUUGCAGCCAAAUUGGGUAAAGAGUCAAGACCCAUCGGUGUGCUUUAUUCAGGAGACCCAUCUCACGUGCAAAGACACACAUGGGCCCAAAAUAAAGGGAUGGAGUAAUAUUUACCAAGGAAAUGGAAAGCACACACACACAAAAAAAAGCAGAGGUUGCAAUCCUAGCCUCUGAUAAAACAGACUUUAAACCAACAAAGAUCAAAAAAGACAAAGAAGGGCAUUACAUACUGGUAAAGGGAUCAAUGCAACAAGAAGAGCUAACUCUCCUAAAUAUAUAUGCACCCAAUACAGGAGCACCCACAUUCAUAAAGCAAGUUCUUAGAGACCUACAAAGAGACUUAGACUCCCACACAAUAAUAGUGGGAGACUUUUAACACCUCACUGUCAAUAUUAGGCAGAUCAACAAGACAGAAAAUUAACCAGGAUAUUCAGGAUGUGAACUAAGCUCUGGACCAAGAGGACCUAAUAGACAUCUGUGGAACUCUCCACCCCAAAUCAAUAGAAUGUACAUUCUUCUCAGCACCACAUCGCACUUAUUCUAAAAUUGACCACAUAAUUGGAAAUAAAACACUCCUCAGCAAAUGCAAAAGAAUGGAAAUCAUUACAGUCUCUCAGAUCACAGUGCAAUCAAGUUAGAACUCAGGAUUAAGAAACUCAGUCAGAACCGGACAACGACAUGGAAACUGACAACCUGCUCCUGAAUGACUACUGGGUAAAUAACAAAAUUAAGGAAGAAAUAAAUAAGUUCUUUGAAACCAAUGAGAACAAAGACACAAUGUACUAGAGUCUCUGGGACACAGCUAAAGCAGUGUUUAGAGGGAAAUUUAUAGCACCAAAUGCCCACAGGAGAAAGCAGGAAAGAUCUAAAAUCGACACCGUAAUAUCACAAUUAAAAGAACUAGAGAAGCAAGAGCAAACAAAUUCAAAAGCUAGCAGAAGGCAAGAAAUGACUAAGAUCAGAGCAGAACUGAAGGAGACAGAGACACAUGGACACAGGAGAAUGAGAACACAUGGACACAGGGAGGGUAACAUCACAAACUGGGGCCUGUCAGGGGUGGGGAGUGGUGGGGAGGGAUAGCAUUAGGAGAAAGAUCUAAUGUAGAUGAAAGUUUGAUGGGUGCAGCAAACCACCAUGGCAUGUGCAUACCUAUGUAACAAACCUGCACAUUCUGCACGUGUAUCCCAGAACUUAAAGUAUAAUAUAAUAAAAGAAUCUCAUAGCCAUCAUCUGUUGUAUACAACAGACCUCAAAUUAGUCUCCCUCUGCUUCUCCAACAGUGUGGCCUCUUCUAUGAAGCUGUCUACCCAUGGGUUUCCCCAACAUCCCAUCCCCCAGCCCUCAGGUUUCUCCUCCCCAUCAUCUUCACUUCAGAAAGAGAAAUGAAAAAGAAAUUCAAGUGACUCAUCGGUCCACAUAGGCAGGAGUGGGAGAGGCUGAGAGAGUGAAUUUGUGGGUCCAGAUGAAUAUUUCCGCAGGCCUCUUGACUGCUUCACACGAUCUGCUGUGCUUCAUGAAAAAGAGGAUAUAAAAAUCUGAGUGGUGCCAUAUUGUCUCCAAAAGCAGCCAGAGUGAAAAUGAAGUGUGACUGCUGCCUCCCAAAACGCAGGGCAGCUCCUCCCUCACAUCCACAAAUGUGGUUCAGCGGGCUGCCUUGCCCUGUUUCAGGAAGCCUACGUGGAGGGCACUGUGGAGCCCCAGCCACCUUCUUCACACAGGGCUAUCUGGGGCUUCAGUGCCAGGUCCCCUGGAUACACAGCAGAGUCUGCUGGGGGCACUGACCAGGAUGCCAAUGCAGGGGUGCUUUCUCGGAGGCUCAUCCCACCAGCAGUGCCAGGUUUGACAAGCCCCACAAAUCUAUGCUCUUUGGCCGCCUUGAGAACUUUCCAACCAGGGAUUCUUACUGAGCAGAGUGUGCAUGGCGAGGAAGAGUCAGAGUGGGGGGGGCCUUGCCCCUCCCUCAACCAGAGGGACUCUACUUUAAUGUACCUUACAUACUGGGCACUUUCCUAAGAUUUCACUGGAAAAAAUCGGAGCAAACAAAAAUGGAAACAACCUGGAAAGCCCCCAUGGGUCUAGCCCAGUGGUUCUCGAACUUGAGUGUGCCUCAGAAUCUUCUGGAGGGCUAGAUAUAAAACACAGAUGGCUGCGCCUCUCCCCAGACUUGCUGAUUCAUUAUUGCUGAUAUUUCAUUUUUAUGUUUUUGUUUUUUUGAGAUAGGUUCUCACUCUGUUGCCUAGGCUGGAGUAUAGUGACCCAAUCACUGCUCACUGCAGCAUUGACCUCCUGGGCUCAAGCAAUCCUCACACCUGAGCCUCCCAAGAGGCUGGGACUACAGGUAUGUGCCACCACACCUGGCUAAUUUUUCUCUCUUUUGUAGAGACAAGGUCUUGCUAUGCUGCCUAUGUCUCUAACUCCUAAACUCAAGCCCACCUCAGCCUCCUAAAGUGCUGGGAUUACAAGCAUGAGCUACCACACCCAGCCUAAUAUUCUAUACUUUUAAUAGGCUGUCAUGGGAUUACAAUGUUGCUUUCUUGGGACCAACAUUAAGAACCACUACUCUGGCCCAGCUUCCCUUUUAGAUGCCAGGACAGGUGACUCUUCCAAGGUGCCUCAGCAACUUAGAGGCAAACUGGAAUAGAGCCCACUCGCUGACAGCCCCUCCCCCUAUUUUCUAUCCCACCCCCACUUCAUCCAGGGCUUUUCUAUCACACCUGCUCCAGCACAGCAGGGCCCUGGAUAGAGAAAACUGCUCCAAGCUGGGCUUUGUCCCAUGAGGAAAGGGGCACCCUAAAGCAGAGCCCUCGCUCAGCCCAGCCGUGUCCCCCAUUUUGGGAAGUGGCACCCUACCCCCAGGUUUUCAGGAUGCCCCUCAAACUUGACUUAUCCAUGCUUUCAUUCCUUAUUGAGCCUUCUGUGAUUUCUUUCCUUUAUUCUUUCACCGAACACAUCCUUACUGAGACCUUCUAGGUGCUGGGUGCUGUUCUAGAUCCUGAGAAAGAUAUAGAGACCUGUGGGAGACAGGCUCCUCCCUGCCUUCAAGAACUUUGCAGUUGGGUAGGAAAAUAAGCCUAAUCAAGUUACUACACUGUAAAGGGGAAAGAAGGGAGUGUCUCAAAAGGUGUGUGAAGGAUGAGGAAUGGGGAGGGGCUCAUUAGUCUGGCAGGGAGCUGUUAACAGAGACAGGCAUGGGCAUCGGAUGAAGAGGACAUAGUCAGUGUAAGAAAUUAAUGAUUAAAUCAUGAGAAAUAUUUAUUGAGUAUUCACUGUUCACCAAUUGCUUUACAUCUUUUAUCUUCACAACCUUCCCUAUAGGAGGCGCCAUUAUUAAAUUCUUGUUUACAGAUGAGGAAACUGAAGCUCAGAGAAGCCAUGCAACUUGUCCAAAGCCACACAGCUACUCAAACUCAGGCUUUCUGGACCCAGAACCUGAUCUCUUAACUACUACUCUACCAUCUACGACUACUGUACCAUCUCUUACUACUGUACUAUCUUAAUUGCUGUCAGCAAGGGACAGACAGCUAGCACCUAUUUGGAGGGCAGUGAAGAGCAGGUUUCCUGAAGCAUUCCACAAGUGUCAGGGGGUAGUUGGAAUACAGUGAGAAAGAUAGGUUGGGGCUUAAUUUAUGGAGAGGCUUGACUGCCAGGGUGAGUGAUUUGUACCUAACUCAGGAGAUUGUAGGAAGCCACUGAAGGAUUUUGAAUAGGAAAAGUACACGUGACACAGCUGUGUUUUAGGAAAAUUCCUCUAACAGCAGUAGGCAGAUUAGGUUGGAGUGGGAAGACAUUGAUGACCAGGACACCACACUGAAGUUUACUGCAGGAUUACGGGAGUGACAAAACAAAGGCCUGACUUAGGGCAGUGUGGCAGAAAUAGAGCAAGACUCAAGGACAGAUGCUCUCCUCACCACUGUUAUUGUAAAUAAUUUUGACCACUGACCACAUUCUUGACCUAUCUUAACUCAUGUCAUUCUCCCAGUAGGCUGCUACAUCAGAUUGCUUUCCCUUUGACAUCUCUUGCCCCUUCUUCAUCUCUACCAAUGUCUCCCCAUUGGCAGUUUUCCUGUUUGGGGAUCAGGGUCUCAGACCUCUUCUUUGAAUGUAUAGGAAUCACAGGCUAAGGAAACUCAGGAUUGAGGAAUCAUGAUCACUCUCAGAACUGUUUAUUCUCUCCAUUCUGAAGCUGAUGAAACAGAGGCCUGGAGAGGAUGAGUAACUUGUAUCUAGGAAGUGAUGGUGCUUGGAUCAGAGGUGGGAAAUCUUUCCCCCACCUGUUAACGUCGUGUUCCCAUUCUCCUGCUUCCUGGGUCAGGCUGGAGGCCCUGCAGCUGUCGGGAGUGCCAGAUGGCAUCUCAGUCACCAGGCUGGAGGGUGCCUGAGGACCCUGCGGUCAGCCCCAGCUGGCAGCACCACCUCCCAACUGGCACUGUGGACACCAGUGUUCAGAGGGGCUGAGUGAAGGAAGCACGUGUAGCAGAGGGGCAAGAAUGCAGGUGACUCAUGCCCUUUGCAGUGUGACUUACAGCUGUCCAUGGGGCAUCCCAGCCUACGUGAGGCAGUUGCCAUCUUUGCUGUCAGAGAGUCACUCUUGACCCAGGCAGUAACUGACGUCAAGAGCAGAGGAGACAGAGUUUGGUUGUAAAACGGACCAACUGUGCAGAAGAAGCAGUACCCAGCUAUGAGCGAGGAAACCUCGGCUCCACUCACAGAUUUGCUCUUGCCCUUUACAACUGUGUGACCUUAGGUAAGAUGUCACCUGACCUGAAUAAGCCUCACUCUUCUAGUCUGUUCACGGGUACAAUAAUCUUUGCCCUCACUAUCUUGGAGAUGUGAAGAGUGAUCUGUAGGCUAGAGCUUGAAGGAAAAAAACAAAGCCUUCUGCAAACCUAGAGAGUUCCAAACGUGUCAUUACUAUUAUCAUGAUUCAUGCGAAUACUAAUAUCAUUAAACAUUCAUUCCAAAAGGAAA